CGCGUAGGCGGAUUUCCCAGUCAGGCGUGAAAGCCCCGGGCUCAACCCGGGAACUGCGUUUGAUACUGGAAGUCUAGAGUUCUGGAGAGGGUGGUGGAAUUCCCAGUGUAGAGGUGAAAUUCGUAGAUAUUGGGAAGAACACCGGUGGCGAAGGCGGCCACCUGGCCAGACACUGACGCUAAGGCGCGAAAGCGUGGGGAGCAAACA
This 207-nucleotide ribosomal RNA is filed under the name uncultured bacterium. RNAcentral describes it as "partial 16S ribosomal RNA". It matches the Rfam family "Bacterial small subunit ribosomal RNA", at positions 568 to 774 of the family's 1533-position model. The record is from RNAcentral.